Homo sapiens (human) is the source of this 1549-nucleotide long non-coding RNA. Ensembl annotates it as TMEM161B divergent transcript. Its record names the gene TMEM161B-DT. The record is from Ensembl. Lineage: Eukaryota; Metazoa; Chordata; Mammalia; Primates; Hominidae.
UGUACAUAUCUGUGGAUAACAAAUUUGCUAAACUUUCUGCCAUUAUGUAACAAGGAUCUCCUUCCCUCUAGUUUCCAAGAAGAGUUUUCUAAUCUGUUAAGAUGUCACCUGCAGCCUCCUCAAAGGUUAUCUAUUAUGCUUCUAUAAAAAAUUUCUUCAAAGCUCUUCAAACUUUCAUUAACACUCUCCUCCAAGUUCUACCUUCUGUUCACUGCCAGUUUUAAAACCACACUUACAUUUUAGGUUUUUGCUAACACCCCACUUCUGAGUACCAAAAUGUAUACUGAUUUUCUAUUGCUGCAUAAUAAACUGCCCCAAAAUACAACAUGCAAAGCAAUAAAUAUUCAUUAUCUCAUGUAGUGUCUGAAGGUCAAAAAUCCGGAAGCAGCAUAGCUGAGUGGUUCUGAUUCAUUGUCUCUUGUGAAGUUAUCAGUCAAACCAUCAGCUGAGACUGUAAUCAUCUGAUGUUUUAACUAGUACCAGAGGAUACACUUUCACAUGCUAUUGGCAGGACACUUUAGUUCUUCACUAGCUGUUUAGCAGAAUACCGCACUUCCUCACCACAUGUACCUCUUCAUAGAGCUUCCUGGCUUCCUCUAAAACAAGUAAUCCAAGAGAGAAGCAGAAGCCACCAUGGUUUUUUAUGCCGUUGUUGACCUAGCCCCCAAAGUGACAUAUUAUUACACAGAUAUGUAGCCAACCUGUGGGUCACUGAUACGGUUUGGAUGUGUGUCCCCUCCAAAUCUCAUGUUGAAAUGUGAUUCUCAGUGUUGGAAGUGGGGCUGGUGAUAGGUGUUUGGUUCAUGAGGGUAGAUCCCUUAUGAAUGGCUUGGUGCUGUCUUUGUGGCAAUAAGUGAGUUCUCACUAUCUGAGUUCACACAAGAGCUGGUUGUUUAAAAGAGCCUGUCAUCUCUUUUGCUCCCUUUCUCACCAUGUGAUAUGCUGCUCCCCUUCUCUUCUGCCAUGAAGAAAAGCUUCCUGAGGCCUUCACCAGAAGCAGAUGCUGGUGCCGUGCUUCUACAGCCUGCAGAACUGAAGGACUUUACAGCUUCUCUUUCGCAUAUCCAAAUUGCCAGCAUCACCGCUCUUGCACUCCAAGCCAUUAUUAAGUAAAGUAAAGAACACAAACACUGUGAUACUGCUACACUUGAUCUGAUAACCAAGAAGUCUACUAAGUGACUAACAGUUAAUAUUUUUGGACAUGAGGUGACUGCAGUUAACUAAAACCAUGGAAAGCAAACCCAUAGAUAAAGGGAUACUAUGAGCAACUGGGAACCUAAUUCUGACCAAAAAGGAGGAAUUGUUUGGCUAAUUGGAAGUGACAGAAACCUUGGGAGAAAGCAACCGCAUACCAAGGAUAAUUAUAAGAAGAGAAGACAUGGAGAAGAGGAGGGAGUAGUUGUGACCGUGGAGGCAGAGAAUGGAGUAAUGUGAUCAUAAAUCAAGGAAUGCUGACAGCCACUAAAGCUGGAGAAGGCCAAGGACAGAUAUUCAAUCCUCCCGUAGAAGUACAGCCCUGCUAAUGCAUUGAUUUUGGACUUCUGGCCUC